AUUCUCCUGACACACACAGGUCAGUCACCUGCUCCUUCAGAGGCUCACUGCUCAGGUGCUUCCCAUUCACAGAGUACAGAUGCAGUGACCACUGUACACACAAGAGGGCACAAGUGCUGUACAAGAAACUGAAGAAGAUGAAGGCCAACAAGACAGCUUUCUGUCAAACACAUAGGAAAGAAACAAAAUAAGUAGAGCUGAGGGAUAUUGGGACACAGCCUGUAUUGAAUUACUCAGCUUUCCCUAAAUGCCUUGGAUUCAGGACGGCCACGGGUUUGGAGAGAUCUCGGAACACGCGUGGGUCAGAGAGGUCCAGCUCCUCGGAGGUGUAAUCUGCCAGGAUCCAGGGAAACUGCAGGGGUGACGAAAAACAAACAGAUUUAAACACUGGAAAGAGCAAAAUCACACAAUUGGUGUGCUAAUAAAGAGCAGCUUUUACCACAGGAUACUGAGCCAGGUUGUUGUAGGUUCUCCCUGCGAUGGUGUUCAGCUGCAUCAGACGGUUGUGAACACUGACCUGUGUGAGUCCAGAGGCCUUGAGCAGCUCCUGGGGUGAGCGAGUGCCGUGGAGAGGGAGAGAGCAAAGCAGCAGCAUCCGACUAUACACUUUAUUCCGCACCUGUCCAUCAAACACAGAGGGAAAUAGAUGUGGUGAGUGGUGAUGUCCAACCGGCCAGGGUACACAUCCACCACAGUGACCAGCUCACAGUCCUCUGACAUCACCAACUUCUCCUUCUGAUUCGCGUCCUCGUCAUCCACUCUGAGGAGUGAAAGAGAGAAAGAGUGUAUAAGAAAAAGGAAGAUGGGAGUAGGUCCCAUCACAGGGAGCAGCAGUUCAUUGGCAGUGCCCAAUUUGGUGAGGGCGGAGAACACCUGUCCUCUCUCCAUCCAGGCGGUAUCGUCUGAACCCCCGACGCCACGCCACAUCACACACAGCACAAUCUCCAACAGUAUCCGCCACAACUCCUCCUCAGCACACCGAAAAAAGAUAAGACGCACUCAAGCAACAGUUACCACAUGGACACACUAGGUGGCACUGUGUGACCUUCACUACUAUACUGGGGAAAAGUAUAAAUUGAUUCCCUAUGAGGUUAAAACAUACUUAAACAAACUUAAAGCCUUACCUCAGCAUUGUUAAAAGACUCUCCCAGAGAGACGUUAUCACUGAAAAGGAAGCUGUCAUCAGACAGGGAGGAGGCUGUCUCUCGCUCCACUGGGGCUCCAGGGAAAGGCUUGGCGUUCUCGAGAGGUGAGGGCGUACUGGGCAUGCUGCCGGGGGUCUGACUUCCGCUGUCCCCCUGAUCAAAUAGGUGCAUCUGGGAAAGAUCCAAACUCAGGCCCCCAGCUUUCCCGGCCUUUGGUGAUUUAUUUACGUAGUAGUUAAACGGAGCGUCCCCUGGCGUCUCAGUGAGGGACAGCAUGUCUCCGUUGUCCAGGCUGUCUAUAGACCUGCUGUCUGAAACGCUGUCUCUCUCAUCAUUCAGCUUCCCCAUGCUGUUCGAUGGCACUUUGCGGUCUAUUGGAGGUUCUAGCCUGUUUCCUGCGCUGCUACGGCCGAGCUCCAGGCUGCCCAGGCUGGCCGAAUCACCCCGGCCAGAGCCUGUGCUCCCAUCUGUCCCGGGGGUCCGGACCAACACUCUCAUUAGCGUGUCCUGCCAGCACAGCUGCCGGGAAAUUUGCAGCGCCGCAUCUGGCUGUGACUGGAGCAACGAGCAGGCGGAUGCUGGGUCCGGCCCGAUGGGUCAGCUGCACAAGAGCCAUCAGAUCCUUAUAGUUCACCACAGUGUCUGCGGAUUACAGGACCAUGGUCAUAAGGCCAGAUUCAAUCAAUCUUAAAGGUUUAAUAUGUUCUUCAUGCUCUCAAUAUUCUUGUGACUAGACUCUGCAUCUCUUCUAACUACAAACAAUUCAGCAUUACUACACAGUCAAAGCAACUCAGAGGAAAAUAACAGAACCCCAGCUCUGAUACAUCAGCCAUCAUAUGACUGUGAGGGCCAGCAUCACUAUAGGAGCGAUGUGGAGAAAGAACGCCAUCUGCUCACCCUGAGAGAGCAUGGCCAAUUGUGCUUUUUGGGGCUCCAGUUGCCAAUGAUGAAGCAGCAUGGUCCAAAAUUAAAACUUCCAAAACUCGGACCAUAGUGUCAGCUGCCUCACUCGAAUGCCAAUUGCUGACAUUUAUUUGACUGGUACUGUAUGUAUGAUAACAUAUAAAUGGGUAAAUUGAAGAACAGCCAAUCCCUGCUGUAGAAGUUGCAGCGUGGGACUGACCUGUGUGCAGCACUUGGUUGAUGAGGCACUUCACGAGGCUGGGGGUGAUCUGACUGUCUGAGAAGAGGAGUGUAAGGCCUGAGUAUCCCAUCUCCCUCAGCCUCAACCGCUGCUUACUCUUCUCAUACACACGGUCACACUUCAGCAUCCGCUCAAACACCUGCAAACACACAGAAUAUUCAAUUUGCUUUGUAUAAAUAUGUAAUGCAUAGAUGUAUUUGGUUAUUUCUUCAGAAACCAAGUGUACUAAAAUUGUGGGAGGUUAUCAUCCAACAGCCCAGCCUGAAUAAUGCUCUAAUAAAUGCAAUAAAAUUUCCACA
This is a long non-coding RNA of Astyanax mexicanus (Mexican tetra), 2588 nucleotides long. RefSeq lists it as uncharacterized. The record is from RefSeq and is a predicted model, not a curated record. The transcript has 9 exons. Lineage: Eukaryota; Metazoa; Chordata; Actinopteri; Characiformes; Acestrorhamphidae.